RNAcentral lists this transfer RNA (64 nucleotides) under uncultured Geminigera. It matches the Rfam family "tRNA", at positions 7 to 64 of the family's 71-position model. Rfam says of the family: Transfer RNA (tRNA) molecules are approximately 80 nucleotides in length. Their secondary structure includes four short double-helical elements and three loops (D, anti-codon, and T loops). The record is from RNAcentral. Lineage: Eukaryota; Cryptophyceae; Pyrenomonadales; Geminigeraceae.
AAUUAGCUCAGUUGGUCAGAGCGCGGGACUGUCAAUCCCGAGGUCGUCGGUUCAAUUCCGGCAA